Molecule: unclassified non-coding RNA, 207 nt
Filed under: Hevea brasiliensis (rubber tree)
Lineage: Eukaryota; Viridiplantae; Streptophyta; Magnoliopsida; Malpighiales; Euphorbiaceae
Source: RNAcentral
AAUUAUAACUCGACAAUUUUGUGAUUGUGGACAUGGAAAAAGAUCUAACUUUCCAAUGCACAUAUGAAUGGAAGUUUACAAGCAAGAAGAGAUAGAACUGCACAACAUAGAGGAGCUAACUACAUGUGAAGUAAACAAAUAAUGACAUCAAAUCCGUAACAGUUAGUGAACCUUUGUAUAGCUUACCUCAUCAUGCCAUAUUUCAAA